RNAcentral lists this ribosomal RNA (307 nucleotides) under uncultured bacterium. RNAcentral's name for it is "bacterial SSU rRNA". It matches the Rfam family "Bacterial small subunit ribosomal RNA", at positions 28 to 334 of the family's 1533-position model. The record is from RNAcentral.
GACGAACGCUGGCGGCGUGCCUAACACAUGCAAGUCGAACGGAACUCGGGACUUCGGUUCUGAGUUUAGUGGCGAACGGGUGAGUAACGCGUGAGGAACCUGCCUUUCAGUGGGGGACAACAGUUGGAAACGACUGCUAAUACCGCAUAAUGUAUCGAAGGGCAUCCCUUUGAUACCAAAGCUUUAUGUGCUGAAAGAUGGCCUCGCGUCUGAUUAGAUAGUUGGUGAGGUAACGGCUCACCAAGUCUGCGAUCAGUAGCCGGUCUGAGAGGAUGAACGGCCACAUUGGGACUGAGAUACGGCCCAG